This 551-nucleotide long non-coding RNA is filed under the name Homo sapiens (human). RNAcentral's name for it is "HSALNT0306754". The record is from RNAcentral. Lineage: Eukaryota; Metazoa; Chordata; Mammalia; Primates; Hominidae.
CUUUACUGCCUCUCUCCAGCCAGCUCCAGCACUACAGGACAGGUAGAGACACAGCAGACAUCGGAAAGAUUUCUUUAAGGCCACCGAGGAGAAAUGAAACUUGGGUCGAUACUAAUGAUUCUUACAGGGAUUGGUGUUUAGAGGGAUGCAGAUGCUUGGCCACCCGUGGAAGUAGCUAUUGGACAGACACACUCAUCCGUGAGGACACAUCAAGCUAGAUCCUGAAGGGGAGAUAGAAGUGUCAUAUAGGCAAACGGGGAGAUUGGAAUUAAAUGUCACGUGGAAAAAAGCCAACAUGGCAUUCUGUUAAGAAGAUAGACAACCUAAGUGACGUCUAUCCUGCUUCAAAGACAAAACUCAGGAGGCUGUACAUUCAUUUAGAGCAGAGUAGACGAAACCUCCUAUUCUCUGGCUUGGGAACCAGGAGGAAUCACUGACUGAGAUUUGCCAACCAGACCUCUAUGAAGUGAGCUCUAUCACAUGGUACGUUUAUGAGAAGAGGAACCAGCAAUGUUUCCUUCCAUCUUCAACUAUACUAACAAGAUCCAUCU